RNAcentral lists this ribosomal RNA (174 nucleotides) under Oncholaimus sp. ESC003. Its description in RNAcentral is "partial 18S ribosomal RNA". It matches the Rfam family "Eukaryotic small subunit ribosomal RNA", at positions 245 to 417 of the family's 1831-position model. Lineage: Eukaryota; Metazoa; Nematoda; Enoplea; Enoplida; Oncholaimidae. The record is from RNAcentral.
AGUGAGAUUGAACUAUUCAGCUGAUCGCACGGUCUAUGAACCGGCGACAUAUCCUUCAAAUGUCUGCCUUAUCAACUUUCGAUGGUAGAUUAUGCGCCUACCAUGGUUGUAACGGGUAACGGAGAAUCAGGGUUUGAUUCCGGAGAGGGAGCCUGAGAAAUGGCUACCACAUCC